AUACAGAAGAGGUACAUAAUGUUACAUAGCCAGAUACAGACAGAGGUACAUAAUGUUACAUAGCCAGAUACAGUAAGAGGUACAUAAUGUUACAUAGCCAGAUACAGAAGAGGUACAUAAUGUUACAUAGCCAGAUACAGUGUAAUUACAAUAGAGGUACAUAAUUUUACAUAGCCAGAUACAGUAGAGGUACAUAAUGUUACAUAGCCAGAUACA
Salvelinus sp. IW2-2015 is the source of this 216-nucleotide non-coding RNA. The record is from RefSeq and is a predicted model, not a curated record. Lineage: Eukaryota; Metazoa; Chordata; Actinopteri; Salmoniformes; Salmonidae.